RNAcentral lists this ribosomal RNA (461 nucleotides) under Tarletonbeania crenularis. RNAcentral's name for it is "partial 16S ribosomal RNA". It matches the Rfam family "Bacterial large subunit ribosomal RNA", at positions 1902 to 2524 of the family's 2925-position model. Lineage: Eukaryota; Metazoa; Chordata; Actinopteri; Myctophiformes; Myctophidae. The record is from RNAcentral.
AAACUGGCCCUUAAGUAUGUUAAACGGCCGCGGUAUUUUGACCGUGCAAAGGUAGCGCAAUAAAUUGUCUCUUAAUUGGAGACUAGUAUGAAUGGCAUCACGAGGGCUUAACUGUCUCCCCUUUAAAAUCAGUGAAAUUGAUCUCCCCGUGCAGAAGCGGGGAUACACUCGUAAGACGAGAAGACCCUAUGGAGCUUAAGAUAUAAAUUAACCCACGUCAAAAACCCAAAGAGGAAAAGAACAGAGUGAACUUAUUAGCAUGUCUUUGGUUGGGAUGACCGCGGAGAAAAACAUAACCCCCGCACGGACAGGCCAAUCAGCCCUAAAACAUAGACCCACAGGUCAAAUCAACAGUAUUUCUGACCGACAGACCCGGCACAAGCCGAUUAAUGGACCUAGUUACCCUAGGGAUAACAGCGCAAUCCCCUCCAAGAGACCUUAUCAACGAAGGGGUUUACGAC